AGGUGAUCCAACCGCAGGUUCCCCUACGGUUACCUUGUUACGACUUCACCCCAGUCAUGAAUCACAAAGUGGUAAGCGCCCUCCCGAAGGUUAAGCUACCUACUUCUUUUGCAACCCACUCCCAUGGUGUGACGGGCGGUGUGUACAAGGCCCGGGAACGUAUUCACCGUAGCAUUCUGAUCUACGAUUACUAGCGAUUCCGACUUCAUGGAGUCGAGUUGCAGACUCCAAUCCGGACUACGACAGACUUUAUGUGGUCCGCUGGCUCUCGCGAGUUCGCUUCACUUUGUAUCUGCCAUUGUAGCACGUGUGUAGCCCUACUCGUAAGGGCCAUGAUGACUUGACGUCAUCCCCACCUUCCUCCGGUUUGUCACCGGCAGUCUCCCUUGAGUUCCCACCAUUA
RNAcentral lists this ribosomal RNA (403 nucleotides) under Yersinia mollaretii ATCC 43969. RNAcentral's name for it is "partial 16S ribosomal RNA". The record is from RNAcentral. Lineage: Bacteria; Pseudomonadati; Pseudomonadota; Gammaproteobacteria; Enterobacterales; Yersiniaceae.